AUUUGAAAUCUGGCCCCCUCAGGGUCCGAGUUGUAAUUUGCAGAGGGUGCUUUGGCGUUGGCCGCGGUCUAAGUCCCUUGGAACAGGGCGCCGCAGAGGGUGAGAGCCCCGUACGUGGCCGAUGGCCUCCGCCGUGUAAAGCCCCUUCGACGAGUCGAGUUGUUUGGGAAUGCAGCUCUAAAUGGGAGGUAAAUUUCUUCUAAAGCUAAAUACUGGCCAGAGACCGAUAGCGCACAAGUAGAGUGAUCGAAAGAUGAAAAGCACUUUGGAAAGAGAGUCAAAAAGCAUGUGAAAUUGUUGAAAGGGAAGCGCUUGCAGUCAGACUCGCCCGCGGUUGCUCAGCCGGUGCGCCACGCGCCGGUGCACUCUUCCGCGGGCGGGCCAGCGUCAGUUCGGGCGGUCGGACAAAGGCACGCGGCAGGUACCCGCCUCUGCGCGGGACUUAUAUGGCGUGCGGCAUACGAUCAGCCCGGACUGAGGUCCGCGCAUCUGCUAGGACGCUGGCGUAAUGGCUGUAAGCGGCCCGUCUUGAAACACGGACCAAGGAGUCUAACAUCUAUGCGAGUGUUUGGGUGUCAAGCCCGGGCGCGCAAUGAAAGUGAACGGAGGUGGGAUCCCGGUGCACCAUCGACCGAUCCUGAUGUCUUCGGAUGGAUUUGAGUAAGAGCAUAGCUGUUGGGACCCGAAAGAUGGUGAACUAUGCCUGAAUAGGGUGAAGCCAGAGGAAACUCUGGUGGAGGCUCGCAGCGGUUCUGACGUGCAAAUCGAUCGUCAA
Molecule: ribosomal RNA, 775 nt
Filed under: Sulcosporium thailandicum
Lineage: Eukaryota; Fungi; Ascomycota; Dothideomycetes; Pleosporales; Halotthiaceae
Description: eukaryotic LSU rRNA
Rfam family: Eukaryotic large subunit ribosomal RNA
Source: RNAcentral